Long non-coding RNA from Alligator mississippiensis (American alligator), 3757 nucleotides. RefSeq lists it as uncharacterized. NCBI's taxonomy places the organism in Eukaryota, Metazoa, Chordata, Crocodylia, Alligatoridae. The transcript has 4 exons. The record is from RefSeq and is a predicted model, not a curated record.
GAUGGAAGGAGAAAAGUGGGACUGAUGUACUUCUGCAAAGUUGGGUAAAGUGCUUCUGGAUAUAGGUGGGGAUAAUAAGGAAGCAGACAGCAGAAUUUCCAGUUCCAUUUUGGCUGAUUCUAUUUCUAUACGUCUUGGUGCCUUUUGGAGUUUGCAGUCAGCAGUGAGACCUUCUCCUAACUCAGUCUUGAAGAUCACACCCCAAAGGGGAAAAGUCCUGCUUGAGAUACCAUUAAUAGCUUGAUUGCCAAACAUUUCUUGUGUGAUUUAAUGUGUUCUAUAGUAGUUUGUCCAUGAUGAAUUGAGAAUAUUUGCUUAUGAUAAGUUUAAUUCUUCUAAAAAAUACCCCACUCUGUUGGGCCUCCAGUUUAAAGACACAGAGGUUCCACAGUAUUUGACAUGGCUUCUAGAUAAUCACUAACUAAGGAUUAGGAGACUUUUCUCAGUUCCUGCUUAACAGAGGCAUCUUUUCACUCAUUUACCUUGAAGUAUGUCUCUCCUUUCUAAAGUUCAUUUUGCGUAAGGGAAGAUAACAGCCCAUAUCAUGCAGAUACCCAAAGAUCCUGUAGCUGAGAGGCUAUUCACAUGCCUUUCCUGAGAAGAUUUUUGCCAGGUGCAAAAUGUGCCACUUUGCCUAAAUUAUUAGAAGUAGAAUUGACAUCUGAUGUAAUGUAGGAGAGUCUUGGGAGUUGGAGGCAAGAGGCAAUGGAGAAAGUGGUAGUUUAAGGGAUUAUGGAGAGGUUAACAGAGAAUAACCCCCUUUAGAAGUAGGAAUUCAGUUUUGCACCUGCAUAUUUGUCUCCUGAUUUAUACUGCACAGUUAUUUGAAGCAAACCCACUGGAAUGACUAAGUAUGGGAUCUGGAAGAAAUGUCUAUGAUCAUAAAGUUGAGGCACAAAAAUUGCCCAGUGUCACGCAGGAGCUUUGAGGAAACAUCAGGAUCUCUGCUGGUGAGACAAGUGGUGACAUCCAGGCAGAAGAGCCUGCCUAGGGCCCGUCAGCUGAAGGGCAGAUGAGAUGACUGACUUCUUGGCCCUUUGGGUCCAAGAGGACACACUUGGACAGUUCAGAGUGGGCCACUCUGCUGUCCAGAUGGCAGAGUGGGGGCACCCAACCAGGUCUGCAGCCAUGGGGCCACAAGUCCAAGGGGGCAGAUACUGUCGCAGGUGGCAGCAGGUCACAGCCAGGCAGGAGCCCUCACUGGCAGACUGUUGUAGUAGGUAGAGGGGUCAGGGGCCACUCCAGAUCAAGGCUGCUUCAGCAGCCCAGCUGACACAAGCGAUAGUAUCCCCAGAUACCAACUUGGUGGGCCUCAGGAGCUCCUGAGGGCAAGGAGCCCUGAGCUGCUCACCGGGGCAGGUUUUUAUACUUCUGGGGCCAGCACAGGUGCUGGGCCCAGGCUCUGGAUCCCCCUGGCUGCAGAUCUGGGAGGAGCUGGGCAGAGUUAUUUUUCCCCAAGUGGCACAACAUGCCCCACACCAAAGUGCAUGUCCAUACAUGUGCACUGAGGGAAAAAUCCCCAACUCAAAUUUGUGCCACUUCUAUCUGAGCUGCUACAAGUGCAUGUGCCUGCAUGUGUAGACACAUCCUAAGGAACUUUAUGUCCUACUGAAAACAUUACAUGUCCUGCAAUACAAGUCUGACAUGGCAAAAUGUGCAGUUUUGGGCAUAAAAUCCACCAGACCCAAUCAUGCCUUUUUAUUAACAUUUAUUAACAGCCAAGAGCCAAAGUCACAGAAGAUGCAGGUGAAGUAGGAGAGUAUGAAAAAGAGUCCAGUGGUGAGGGUGGGGCCAUUCUGUGAAAGAGAGACAGAGCAAUGCUUGGUGGAAGCCGAGUUGUGUUUUGGUGAGUGGGAGAACUGAAUAAGGACUACAGGCUGAAUGAAGAGAUAAGGGUGAGGAAACUUGUAGUUAAGCAGUUACACAGUCAGAGGAAUCAUCAGUGUAGAAGCUGAAGUUACCAAGAAUGUGUGUGGGAGAUUGUGAAGAGCGGAAGAAUGGGUGAGGGUAAGCCAUGAGUGAAAAUCAGAGAAGAAAACUGAUGGAUGAUAAUCAUAUAGCUAGUAAAUGACAGUAACCUGGAGGGGAGAAGAGGAUGGAAGCACUGGUUAAGAUGCCUUUGUUUUGGCCAUAAGGCCUUGUGUUAUUUUACUUAUUCCUAUAUCAAUUUUGUAAGACACAUUUUGCCUUUCGAAAUGUAUCAGAGCACAAAUACUUGUCAGAAUAUUACUGACAACACUCCCAGUCUCUGAACUUCUUAGUUGUGAUUAUUUCCUUAAACAGAUCGUUUAUGCUGUUCCUUUGAUUCACAUAAUUAAUCACUCUUAUUCAAUCAAAUGCCUUUCUCAAAGUAUGAAAUCAUUAAAUAUAAAUUGUUCUCAAUCCAAGGGGAAAAAAGAGCCAAUUUUUAAUUGUCUUAGCAGCUGCCUGUGCCACAUUUUUAAGAUGAAAACAUAAUUACCUGAAAAAAAUGGAGAAAAAGAUAAGGGAUCUCAUAGAACAUGAAGAUUUUCUUCAAUUAACAAUUAAGAAUAGGUGAGGGGCUCUUUUGGAUAGCUGCCCAAAAUAUGCAAGAGAUUUACAAUCAGUCUUAAUAUCCAAGAAAAAACUAUGUCUUUUUAUUUGUCAUAUAUAUAUAUGCACCCACAAGGUUUUGUAGGUAGCUGGAAGUAAGGAUCUUCAAAAUGUAAUAUUUGUCACACAACAGUUGGCUUAUUACACAUGUGAAAGUGUUUUUCAGCAUGUGAAAUGGGAGGGAGAAUUGACAGGCAUGUGAUAUUAAAUGAAGUGUAUAGUAUUAUCUAGAAAUAAAAAAGUGAGCCUGAAGACUAAAUGAACUACUAGUCAUUUAUUUACUCCCUAGUCUCUUAUAUCUUUUGUUGUAUAAUGUUCAUAGAAUAAACUAAUGGAUGCAGACAUAUCAUAAACAUAAAAUGGUACAGGCAGUAAGUCUUAAUGCACCUUAAUUCUGAUUUAGAUUAUUCAACCCAAACCUGAGUGAUGUUCCAAUUACAUUAAAAGAAUCCAGCCACACACAAUGCAGGAUCUUACCGAAUUUUUGCCAAUCUGGUUUAGAUAAUCCAAUAUUAUCAUUUUCUUUCAAGCCUACACUAGAAAGAAAAUUGGAAUAUUGCCAAAAUGUGUGUGUGUGUGUGUGUGUGUGUGUGUGUGUGUGUGUGUGUGUGUGUGUGUGUGUGAGGGAGAGAGAGAGAGAGAGAAAGAGAGAACUGGAAAGUAGAAUGAAAUAAAAAAGUUGAAUAUCUUUUUUGACACACUUACUUCCUGUUCUUUCUGUGUGUUAUCCAGCUUUAUCUGCUUUAAUGCUUUGGUUUUGCAAUAAAAUAUUUAUGUAUCACACACCAGUAAUCAGUACUAUUUUGUCCCUGUUUACUAGUUAGCUAUCAGAGAUGAUAUAUGGUAACCCAUAAAUUAUGUCAGUCUUGGUUCACAAUCAAUUUAAAGCAUUUCUGCUCCCAGAAAACACAGCUUUCAAUUCAUUUGAAAGAAAUUGCAAGUCUUCAUUUCUUGUGCCAGUUUUGUCCAUGGUAAAUCAACCACAGAAUGGAAUAAGCAUCAGCAAUAUAUCGCUCUCUUACCUGUAGUUUUUGUACAUGCUUUUCCUCAGUGAAGACCACACUGUUAUAAUUUAUAUGCUGUAUCUUUUUAAAUUUCUAUAUUAAAAUUUUAGUAUACUUAAAAGCAGUUGAACAAUGUCAAAUUAAUUCAAUAAGGGGAACCAAAAUACAUUCUACAUACA